Molecule: ribosomal RNA, 266 nt
Filed under: uncultured bacterium
Lineage: Bacteria
Description: partial 16S ribosomal RNA
Rfam family: Bacterial small subunit ribosomal RNA
Source: RNAcentral
GUCCACGCCCUAACGAUGGAUACUAGACGUAAGAGGUAUCGACCCCUCUUGUGUCGCAGCUAACGCAUUAAGUAUCCCGCCUGGGGACUACGGCCGCAAGGUUGAAACUCAAAUGAAUUGACGGGGACCCGCACAAGCGGUGGAGCAUGUGGUUUAAUUCGAUACUAACCGAAGAACCUUACCCAGGUUUGACAUCGAUCGCAAGAUCCCGAAAAGGAUCCCUCCCCCACAAGGGGACGUGAAGACAGAUGUUGCAUGGCUGUCGU